GUGCCAGCAGCCGCGGUAAGACAGAGGAGCCAAGCGUUGUCCGGAUUGACUGGGCGUAAAGCGCACGCAGGCGGCUCGGCGCGUGGGGUGUGAAAGCUGGCGGCUUAACUGCCAGACGCCAUCCCAUACGGCUGGGCUCGAGCCCUGCAGAGGUCCAUGGAAUUGCCGGUGUAGUGGUGAAAUGCGUAGAGAUCGGCAGGAACACCCAGGGGGAAACCAGUGGACUGGGCAGGAGCUAACGCUCAGGUGCGAAAGCGUGGGGAGCGAACCGGAUUAGAUACCCCGGUAGUCC
RNAcentral lists this ribosomal RNA (292 nucleotides) under uncultured bacterium. RNAcentral describes it as "partial 16S ribosomal RNA". It matches the Rfam family "Bacterial small subunit ribosomal RNA", at positions 505 to 796 of the family's 1533-position model. The record is from RNAcentral.